GGUUUUCGCGGCGGCCGGAGAUGAUCGACGGUUCGAUGAAGCGAAGAGUUUACGGCGAAGAUCAGACGAAUCGGAUCGGGUAGUGGUGGAGUAGAGAUCGGACUCGUCGAACUCGAAUUCUGAAUCGUCAGUGAUGGUUUUGUGAGAUCGAUCUGAUGUUGGAAGGUAGCGAUGACUCGGCCGUUGGUAAUAGCUCUUUCUCGUCGCCGUCGUCGCCAUUGAUGGGUUUGGUUUAGUAUGAGAGAAGAGUCUCUCUCUCUUUGCUUUUUAUAAAUGCGUUUUUGUUAACUUACAGUUUGGGUUGGGUUAAAUGACGUAAAUGCCCUUUUGGUUUUGUGGUGGAAGGAAUAUUUACAUGCGUCAAUGUAUAAUGGAUUUAAUGGUUUAUGACUUCUGUGGCAUAUUCUCGAAAUAUAAUUAUUAAUUUAAGCAAAA
RNAcentral lists this long non-coding RNA (435 nucleotides) under Capsella grandiflora. RNAcentral describes it as "long non-coding RNA (CGRA_LNC001261)". Lineage: Eukaryota; Viridiplantae; Streptophyta; Magnoliopsida; Brassicales; Brassicaceae. The record is from RNAcentral.